GCGGCCGUAGCUGACCGGUCACGGUGUUCGCUUUGUAAGCGAAUGAUCCUGGGUUCGAUUCCCAUCUGCUCCC
RNAcentral lists this transfer RNA (73 nucleotides) under Culex quinquefasciatus (southern house mosquito). It matches the Rfam family "tRNA". From Rfam's summary of the family: Transfer RNA (tRNA) molecules are approximately 80 nucleotides in length. The record is from Rfam by way of RNAcentral. Lineage: Eukaryota; Metazoa; Arthropoda; Insecta; Diptera; Culicidae.